GGCUUCAUGGCCGAGUGGCUAGCGCUCGGUACCACAGGUUUCGGGUUUGAGUCCCGAUGAUGCCA
This is a non-coding RNA of Caerostris darwini, 65 nucleotides long. NCBI's taxonomy places the organism in Eukaryota, Metazoa, Arthropoda, Arachnida, Araneae, Araneidae. The record is from the annotation of a GenBank genome assembly.